RNAcentral lists this ribosomal RNA (478 nucleotides) under Salmonella enterica subsp. enterica serovar Oranienburg. RNAcentral describes it as "partial 23S ribosomal RNA". It matches the Rfam family "Bacterial large subunit ribosomal RNA", at positions 715 to 1191 of the family's 2925-position model. RNAcentral also lists the same sequence under 2 other names. The record is from RNAcentral. Lineage: Bacteria; Pseudomonadati; Pseudomonadota; Gammaproteobacteria; Enterobacterales; Enterobacteriaceae.
CCGAAACCCGGUGAUCUAGCCAUGGGCAGGUUGAAGGUUGGGUAACACUAACUGGAGGACCGAACCGACUAAUGUUGAAAAAUUAGCGGAUGACCUGUGGCUGGGGGUGAAAGGCCAAUCAAACCGGGAGAUAGCUGGUUCUCCCCGAAAGCUAUUUAGGUAGCGCCUCGUGAAUUCAUCUCCGGGGGUAGAGCACUGUUUCGGCUAGGGGGCCAUCCCGGCUUACCAACCCGAUGCAAACUGCGAAUACCGGAGAAUGUUAUCACGGGAGACACACGGCGGGUGCUAACGUCCGUCGUGAAGAGGGAAACAACCCAGACCGCCAGCUAAGGUCCCAAAGUCAUGGUUAAGUGGGAAACGAUGUGGGAAGGCCCAGACAGCCAGGAUGUUGGCUUAGAAGCAGCCAUCAUUUAAAGAAAGCGUAAUAGCUCACUGGUCGAGUCGGCCUGCGCGGAAGAUGUAACGGGGCUAAACCAUG